UAAUACUAGAACAUGAAGCGCGCUUUGCGCGCCCUAUCACGAGUAUAGAAAUAUAAAUAAAUAUAAUAUAUAAAAGGUAAUUGAAGAGCAAUUUAUUAUUAUUGGAAAACAAAGUACAUAUGAAAUUGUUUUAAAAAAAUACAUACAAAAACGUGUACACCAAGUAUUCCUAGUUUAGCAUUCUGAAAAUUAGAAAAAUGGAAUAUAAUGAACUAUGACUAUGUAAAGUCUGUUUUGUCUCUCAAAUCAAUAGGCCUCUUGGAUGCUAGUUAGAUUUGCAACUGAAUGAUUCAGAUGUAGAACCAUGCUUGCUGUGUUGCCAUUUGAAAUGUGAAAACAUAGUCACAUAGAAGCCACUGAUCUUCACCUCCUAAUGGUGACAAUGAAAUCAAAAUAUGGUCUGCAGGAAUAGAAAACUACUUCUCUCACAUCUCCUCCCCCCUUAUUUCAAUUUGCGAUCUCAGUCAGCACAUAACAAUGAACAGAUAACCAAAAUUUAAGAAAUAAAAUUGCAGUGCGCCUUGUUACACCAUAUGACAACCAAAUAUAUUUUAUACGUCAAACCAAGCUGCACUGUGCUCGAAUAAACACCUGAAUUGAAGCGCACAAAUGGCAGCACAAUGGUCUAGAUUGUAUAUUGUCUCUAGUUCCGACAGCACAAAAAAAAU
Molecule: long non-coding RNA, 668 nt
Organism: Panicum virgatum (switchgrass)
Lineage: Eukaryota; Viridiplantae; Streptophyta; Magnoliopsida; Poales; Poaceae
Exons: 2
Source: RefSeq, a predicted model, not a curated record